Molecule: long non-coding RNA, 268 nt
Organism: Rhagoletis zephyria (snowberry fruit fly)
Lineage: Eukaryota; Metazoa; Arthropoda; Insecta; Diptera; Tephritidae
Source: RefSeq, a predicted model, not a curated record
UGUUUCCUUGUUGUUGAUGCGGCUGUAGCAAUGUGUUUGUACCCUUAUGUUAUGUCCUUUAUCGAUAAAUUGUUUGUAAUCCCAUCACCAACCAUACGAAACCAAAACGUCAAAAACUUCUAGAAAGAAAAUUAAUUGUGGUUCUGGUGAUGGGAGUGUGAGGAGCGCACAAAAGCGAAAUAAAGCACACACACCACACAAUUCACGCCAGAUAUACGCCUAAUUGACGUGAGCUUUUAUUUGACCUCCUCGGGCCAGGACACAAUUC